GACGAACGCUGGCGGCGUGCUUAACACAUGCAAGUCGAACGGAAAGGCCCUGCUUUUGUGGGGUGCUCGAGUGGCGAACGGGUGAGUAACACGUGAGUAACCUUCCCUUGACUUUGGGAUAACUUCAGGAAACUGGGGCUAAUACCGGAUAGGAGCUCCUGCUGCAUGGUGGGGGUUGGAAAGUUUCGGCGGUUGGGGAUGGACUCGCGGCUUAUCAGCUUGUUGGUGGGGUAGUGGCUUACCAAGGCUUUGACGGGUAGCCGGCCUGAGAGGGUGACCGGCGACAUUGGGACUGAGAUACGGACCAGACUCGUACGGGAGGCAGCAGUGGAGAAUAUUGCACAAUGGGCGGAAGCCUGAUGCAGCAACGCCGCGUGCGGGAUGAAGGCCUUCGGGUUGUAAACCGCUUUAGCCUGUGACGAAGCGUGAGUGACGGUAAUGGGUAAAGAAGCACCGGCUAACUACGUG
RNAcentral lists this ribosomal RNA (468 nucleotides) under uncultured bacterium. RNAcentral describes it as "partial 16S ribosomal RNA". It matches the Rfam family "Bacterial small subunit ribosomal RNA", at positions 28 to 507 of the family's 1533-position model. The record is from RNAcentral.